AUUGAACGCUGGCGGCAUGCCUUACACAUGCAAGUCGAACGGCAGCACGGGAGCAAUCCUGGUGGCGAGCGGCGAACGAGUGAGUAAUAUAUCGGAACGUGCCCAGUCGUGGGGGAUAACGUAGCGAAAGCUACGCUAAUACCGCAUACGAUCUAUGGAUGAAAGCGGGGGAUCGCAAGACCUCGCGCGAUUGGAGCGGCCGAUAUCAGAUUAGGUAGUUGGUGAGGUAAAGGCUCACCAAGCCGACGAUCUGUAGCUGGUCUGAGAGGACGACCAGCCACACUGGGACUGAGACACAGCCCAGACUCCUACGGGAGGCAGCAGUGGGGAAUUUUGGACAAUGGGCGCAAGCCUGAUCCAGCAAUGCCGCGUGCAGGAUGAAGGCCUUCGGGUUGUAAACUGCUUUUGUACGGAACGAAACGGUGAGCUCUAAUACAGUUUGCUAAUGACGGUACCGUAAGAAUAAGCACCGGCUAACUACGUGCCAGCCGCCGCCGUAA
Molecule: ribosomal RNA, 500 nt
Filed under: uncultured bacterium
Lineage: Bacteria
Description: partial 16S ribosomal RNA
Rfam family: Bacterial small subunit ribosomal RNA
Source: RNAcentral